This 74-nucleotide transfer RNA is filed under the name subsurface metagenome. Its description in RNAcentral is "tRNA-Met". It matches the Rfam family "tRNA". Rfam says of the family: Transfer RNA (tRNA) molecules are approximately 80 nucleotides in length. Their secondary structure includes four short double-helical elements and three loops (D, anti-codon, and T loops). The record is from RNAcentral.
GGGGGGGUAGUUUAAUUGGAAAAACGUAAGAUUCAUAACCUUAAGUUGCGGGUUCGAGCCCCGUCCCCUCCACC